RNAcentral lists this ribosomal RNA (497 nucleotides) under uncultured bacterium. RNAcentral describes it as "partial 16S ribosomal RNA". It matches the Rfam family "Bacterial small subunit ribosomal RNA", at positions 28 to 507 of the family's 1533-position model. The record is from RNAcentral.
GAUGAACGCUGGCGGCGUGCCUAAUACAUGCGAGUCGAGCGAACAGAUGAGGAGCUUGCUCCUCUGACGUUAGCGGCGGACGGGUGAGUAACACGUGGAUAACCUACCUAUAAGACUGGGAUAACUUCGGGAGACCGGAGCUAAUACCGGAUAAUAUAUUGAACCGCAUGGUUCAAUAGUGAAAGACGGUUUUGCUGUCACUUAUAGAUGGAUCCGCGCCGCAUUAGCUAGUUGGUAAGGUAACGGCUUACCAAGGCAACGAUGCGUAGCCGACCUGAGAGGGUGAUCGGCCACACUGGAACUGAGACACGGUCCAGACUCCUACGGGAGGCAGCAGUAGGGAAUCUUCCGCAAUGGGCGAAAGCCUGACGGAGCAACGCCGCGUGAGUGAUGAAGGUCUUCGGAUCGUAAAACUCUGUUAUUAGGGAAGAACAAAUGUGUAAGUAACUAUGCACGUCUUGACGGUACCUAAUCAGAAAGCCACGGCUAACUACGUG